This is a long non-coding RNA of Xiphophorus couchianus (Monterrey platyfish), 2061 nucleotides long. RefSeq lists it as uncharacterized. The record is from RefSeq and is a predicted model, not a curated record. The transcript is spliced from 2 exons. NCBI's taxonomy places the organism in Eukaryota, Metazoa, Chordata, Actinopteri, Cyprinodontiformes, Poeciliidae.
AUAUAUAUAUAUAUAUAUAUAUAUAUGUAGUUAAAGAUCAGAGGACAUAUUUUGAGAAUAAAUUAAUAUUAAUUUUAUUUGCACUUUUCUGUUUAGACAUUCAAUUUGUCCCAUCGUUCUGUAAAGUUGCAGUUUAAGAUGUUCUGACCAAAUCUUCUAGAAUCCUGCAGUAAAUGUUGCCUUUACGCUCCACAUGAUAAUGAGUUCUAAUGUGAGUUUAUUUGCAGGCCCUGACCUUCUAUAUGAGCUAAGACAACAGAGGGUGACUGUGUGCUGGAAGCUGCAGAGGCUGUCUUGCGGUUUGGUAGAUGUGGAGCCAAGAGAAAACCAAAGGUUCACUGUUAGCUUAACUUAUAAUAAUUAAAUAUUAAUCUGCUGCAAUUUUGAAUUUCUGAACUAAUUUCCUCAGAAAGCCUCUGCUGCUUCCACACAAACCAAAGUAAAUCAUAAUAAAUAUAAAUAAAUGCAAUAAUUUAAUAAGCCGUUUACAUUUAUACAAGUCAGCAGGUCAAACAGACCAGUGCCAACAACAAGGACUUCACACACACAACUUCCUGGAAGGCUCUGUACCGACUGGGGAGAGCUGAUGGAUCAACAGAGCCAUCUGUUGCUCCCACGUAAAACAGCAUGCAUAAAACCAAUCUCUUUGUUGGGCACUUUUUGCCCGGCACAUUCAGCGGCACACACCAACACUUCACAUCCAACAUUGAACUUGCAUUUUUCGAAGGGCUAAAAAUCACAUUCACAGUUCAGGAAACUGAGGAAGAAAUGCUGGAGCUCCUCUGGAGGCUGACUUCCAGAACCACAGAGUGACCAGAUCACAGAGGCUUCCAGGUGAGACAGGGCAUGUGAAACACCUGAAACACCUGGAACACCUGGAGAUGCAUGGCUCAAGUUGUAGUUUUUUGCAACUUGAAGCUGCAUUAAUCAGCAUAAUAUGGUUUUGGAACUGUGAGAUGAAAAUCACAGUAGAUGUCAUUGUUAUAGAGCUUUAGCUCUACGUAUUAAUCUCACUAAGAACUCUAAUGGAUAAACAUCUUGUCAUGACUUUCAUGCACAUAUAUUAUGACGCAGAAUGCAGAUUAAUUAUGAUCUAGGAGAAUAACAUAAAUACUCUAAUAUUGCAUAUUUGUUUUAUAGAAAGGAUGGCUGGAGCCUUUAGCGACAUUACCAUUUUCAAAAACUUUAAAAUCUAUCAACAAGAAAAUGUUCCCAAUAAGUCAUAAAUAUCACAUCUUCGUUCUCUCUGCAUGGAAAAAUGAAAACAAAUCAAAUCAGAUGGAAAACUGGGACUUCUUUAGCCUAAAACUGCUGGUAGAAUCAGAAUAAUCUAGAAGAACUCGACAAAUGAAUUGGGCCUGAUGUGUCACACGCUUACAAAUUAAUACAUCUUUUAUUGCAGCAGCAUAAUCUCACACAUACAAAUGUAGAAAAAUCAACCCUUUAAUCGGUGCAUUUAUUCAGUCACUUAAGAAAUAAUGGUCUAAAUUACAAAUGGUUGUUAUGGUAACUGCUGAUAAUAUUUUUAAAUGAACACAACUUAAGCUUCUUCUUUUUUAAAAAAUCAUAUGUAACCUUUUAAGUUGACCAGAGUUUCUGGGAACUUGUAGUUAGUAAUUCAGGACUUCCUGUUUCCCUGGGGAAUACAUAUGAUGUGACACAGAGGUCCAUUUCUUUUGAGGAGCCAUAUGGUCACCACAAACAGUGAGCAGGAUGAAGAUGGAGGUAGAAACAAGUCAAAAGCUCUAUAACGACCAUUAGAUUGCUGUCUAAUGGUUGCAAUGGGCAUCACUAACUAGUGAUGCCCUACCAUCACUAACUAACAUGUAGAGUUUGCUGAACUCUGCAAAGACUUUAAGCAGGACUGAGCUUUGGACAAAUGAGGCCGAGCUUCUCAGGAACAACACUUUGCUAUAAAAUUAAUCACAUUCCAGCUGUUAAACAUGGUGGAGGACCUGUGAUGUCCUGGGUCCAUUUGUAGUCCAGAGCCUAGAAACUGAGUGCAUGACAUCAUGAGCUAACAUUUGAAAUUAAAAAAUGUGAUAAUGUGUACCUGAAGAA